UACGAAGGGGGCUAGCGUUGUUCGGAAUUACUGGGCGUAAAGCGCGCGCAGGCGGCCCUUUAAGUCUACCCUUGAAAUGCCGGAGGUCAACUCCGUGCACGCCGGGGGAUACUGGGGGGCUGGAGACAUGUAGAGGCAGGCGGAAUUCCGGGUGUAGCGGUGGAAUGCGUAGAUAUCCGGAAGAACACCUGAGGCGAAGGCGGCUUGCUGGGCAUGAUCUGACGCUGAGGCGCGAAAGCGUGGGGAGCAAACAGG
This 255-nucleotide ribosomal RNA is filed under the name uncultured bacterium. Its description in RNAcentral is "partial 16S ribosomal RNA". It matches the Rfam family "Bacterial small subunit ribosomal RNA", at positions 524 to 776 of the family's 1533-position model. The record is from RNAcentral.